UGAAGGAGUAAACCAGACAUUUCUUGUCUCCUGUUAUACAGAGGCUUCAGCAUGGAUUUAAUUUUAACAUGGGUAUUUCAGCUAUUUUUGAUGAAACACUGACUAUAGUAUUUUGUUUCAUCUUUGAAUCUAAAAUAUAACUUUUAGCCUAUUAUUUUAAAACAGGAAAUACUGCAAGGACCUGUCUCUUUGAAGGUGAACCAGGUCAUCUUGUUCCAUCAUCAUCACAAUUUCUGGUAGAGAGUGAUCUGUUCCUUGUUGCAGGACAAAUGAUUGGACUUUCUUUCCUACAUGGUGGACCUCGCUGGCUGGAGUCAGCCAAGCAAUAGUCCAUGUACUACUAGAGGUUCACCUGAGACUGCUACAGAGCAGAUAGAAGACUGUCCUGACCAUGAUAUUCCUGAAACCAGAAAACUGGUCACUGGAAGGAGAUGACGGCAGGUGAAACAAACACGUAAAGGACUCAAAGAAACCAGAGUGUGGCCGCUGCUGACUGAAAGGAAAGAUGUGGAUAUCUUUCCGAGGGAAUGUGAAAAUUCACUCACCCCUUUGAUGCUGCUUCCCUGUAUCUGCUGACCCUCUGAUAGCAGUGUGGAUGAUGACGACGAGCACGAUUCUUCACAAGAAGAUAGAUGUCACAUCUCAGGGUAUCUGCAUCACUUCACUGAGACAGGUAUAAAUCUUUACUAAUUUGUUUUAUUAGGUGUGUAUGAAAUGUGCUUGAUACAGUUUGCUGGAUUUUACAGCACUGGGUAUAUGUCUGAUGACCUGGAUUAGAUCAUGGAGUGGUGGCAGGGAUGAAAACUGAAAGACUAUUUCACCACUGCUUCCUUCAAGAU
This is a long non-coding RNA of Cyprinus carpio (common carp), 839 nucleotides long. RefSeq lists it as uncharacterized. The record is from RefSeq and is a predicted model, not a curated record. NCBI's taxonomy places the organism in Eukaryota, Metazoa, Chordata, Actinopteri, Cypriniformes, Cyprinidae. The transcript is spliced from 3 exons.